CUAGUGGUCACCCACUUUAUAAUGUUUGUUACAAACCCAUUACAGACAAGCAUUAUGUUGUUUUGUUGCUAUAAUAUUGCUUCGGUACUUGAAUCCUGUACCCAACUCCCGAACGGAUUACUUAUACCGAUUCGUUAAACGAAUAACAGACCACCAAGUCCCUGGCGUGUGCCGCCACUUAACCCCAGUCACCUUUCAAACAACCGAAAACCCGACCACCCUGCGAGGGGAGUGUGUUACCACUUGAUCGCCCAGAGAGUUGCGGUCUGCGGUUAACCGCAGGCUAAUUGACGGCCUCCGGGCAUUCUCGUUCAU
This is a non-coding RNA of Pelobates cultripes (western spadefoot toad), 315 nucleotides long. NCBI's taxonomy places the organism in Eukaryota, Metazoa, Chordata, Amphibia, Anura, Pelobatidae. The record is from the annotation of a GenBank genome assembly.